RNAcentral lists this long non-coding RNA (1579 nucleotides) under Gossypium barbadense (sea-island cotton). RNAcentral describes it as "long non-coding RNA (GBAR_LNC016548)". Lineage: Eukaryota; Viridiplantae; Streptophyta; Magnoliopsida; Malvales; Malvaceae. The record is from RNAcentral.
GUAAAUCAUCAAAUGAUCAAAUCAUUUAAGCAAACAUUACUUUUAAGUAAUGCAUAAAACUUCAAACAUGUAUUUACAAUCAUUUAAACUUAUAAAUUCAUAUUCCCUAGGACUUACUAACAAAAGGGACAUCAUCACUAAAUUUGUCUCCUAGGUACAUGCCAAAAAGAAACACAAAAGAAAACAUUACCAACAUUAAGUACGGGAUACUUGAAGGAUGCCGAGUCCGAUUCUACUAUUUAUCUAACCUGCAAACAUACAAAUCAAAUUACAUUCAAUAGAUUUCAUUUAUUUAGCUAAUCACAAGAACAAUCGACAAUAAUAUAAAAUUUUAACUUAACCAAAUGAAACUUCAAUUAUUUCGAUAAUUCAAGUAACCUUGUUGUAUGAUCUAUUAGCUAUGUGGCACCCGGUGCCUAGCGGAUAAACCGCAGAGGAGUUUGCGCCCAGCGCUAGUCGGGUUAACCGACAAUAUUGAAAGUGAGCCUAGCUCUAGUUGGAUAAACCAACAAUGUUUGUGCCCAGUGCUAGUCGAAGAUACUGACGAUAAUAAAAGUGAGCCCAACUCUAGUUGGAUGAACCAACGGUGUUUGCGCCUAGCGCUAGUCGAAUAAACCGACGGUUGUGUGCCCAGCAAUAGUCAGACAAGGAUUGAGCUCAGCGCUAGUCGAAUAUAUCCACAAAAUUCCACAGUGAGCCUAGCUCUAGUUGAAUAUUUCAACGAUUGUACAAUUAUUUACUUCCACAAAUUCCAAAUUCAUUUUCUUUAACAUUAAAUCGAUAAUAUACAUACAUUUUAUAUGAAGAGCUAAUUUAGAAUUAAUUAAUUAAAUAGUAAUUAGAAAAAUUAAUCUCGAGUCCACGAACUUACCGGAAUUAUGCUUGUGAACAAUUAUUCAGUAGCUUUCUCUUUUUCACGAUUGGCAACAAAAGCUCUCGUAUCUCGAUCUAGAAAUAUUAAUUUAAUUAAAUCAAUUACUCAACAAUUAUAGUUACACAUUUAACCAUUAACAAUUGUUAUUCAAUCAACUUAACCCUUGCCACAAAUAAUAUCGUCAUACAACCGAGUAUAUUUAUAUACUUAUGUGUAAAUAUUUCAAAUUCUCAACAAUGGAAUUUAUCACUCAUUACCAUGCCAUCUAAAAAUUUAACAGCAGCUACAUGCUUAACCAUUAAUCCCAUUCAAAUCAUCAUACGAUCACAUUAAAAUGACAAUUGAAAUUAACAUCUCUACUUCAUUUAAUUAUUUUUUUUCCAGCUCAUAAACAUUCAAAGCAAAACAGCCUUUGCAUGCCAAAUUUCUCCCAAUAACAUUAAACUCAAUCUCAUUAUUCAAUAUAUUACCAAUGUGCAAAUUAUAAGAUUAUCCUUAACAAGUUUCUUUUUUCCCCUAAAACAUCCAUGCAUUUAAGCUCAUCAUUAAAUCCAAAAGAAAAUUUAAACUACAUCUAUGGCAUUAUCCACUACUUCCAAAAAAAUUCUCCAUUCUAGCAUAAAGAUUAGCUAAAUUAAUCUAUUCUCAACUCAAAAAUAUAACAAAAAUGAAAAUCCCUUUGAGAAAUACUUACAUGCAUUCAAA